GGGCAUCAUGAAAACCUGACCCGACCCGAUCCAUUGGCACCCCUAACCCAGAACCGUAGAUUUUACUAAAACUAGCAGUUACGGUGACUCCCAGGCCCGAUUCACCCGCACCUCCUCCAGUUACGGCGAAGUUUGCAAUUUGCGUCCACUUGCAAACGGUUUGCAUUCGGGGAUCUGCUUCGUGUCAAGACCUGAUGUGUUUAAUGAUAAUGACCCGAUUUGUUGUGUUGGCGUUUGCUGUCUGUUGGCACCAGGUUUCAUACCCUUUCAGAAAGCCAGAGGUUUCGGAUAUACUAUUAUUAUUCCAGGCACCGCCAAUAUUGCAGAUUUCUUUUAAUGCAAGUUGGCUUCAGUUCAGCCGAUGUAUUGAACAGUGUGUUAGUAUUUAGUUGUGCGAAGCCUUGUUGACAAGAGCAAAUGAUGGUAUAGCAAUGAACAUCAGGAUGAUACUAGGAAAUAUGGUCCGAAGAAUCUCGAUAGUAGUUCCACGAACAAUCCUUUGCGGGAUUGGAUUUUUCUGAUAGUGGAAAUGCCAUAAAACGCGAACCAAGAUCCGUAAUUUUGUGGCAAAGGCUGGGGACUACGUUGAAGUUCGCGAUGGUAAACUAUUGGUGAACAGUGCUGCUCAAGAUGAAGAUUUCCAUAUUAGAGCCACUUUCUUAUGAGAUGGAACCAUUGGCGAUGCUAAUUUGAAUUCGUGCCAACUUAAUUUGCUAAUAGCAUCACACAGCCGACAUUUUGAUCAAGCUUUCUGACCGUUUCAAUUGCAGCUUAUUCCUGAAGGAUAUGUAUUUGUAAUGGGUGACAAGAGGAACAACA
Long non-coding RNA from Syzygium oleosum, 819 nucleotides. RefSeq lists it as uncharacterized. The transcript has 3 exons. NCBI's taxonomy places the organism in Eukaryota, Viridiplantae, Streptophyta, Magnoliopsida, Myrtales, Myrtaceae. The record is from RefSeq and is a predicted model, not a curated record.